This 1179-nucleotide ribosomal RNA is filed under the name Triticum aestivum (bread wheat). Its description in RNAcentral is "partial small subunit ribosomal RNA". Lineage: Eukaryota; Viridiplantae; Streptophyta; Magnoliopsida; Poales; Poaceae. The record is from RNAcentral.
AUGGCAUCUUCUGAAACCAGCGCCGCACCGGCAGCACGGAGCUCAGAUGUGGCUGGACAUUCAACUCCAGAUGCCACACCGGACACUAGUGCUGAAGAAGCAUCACAAGGUGCCACUGAUGGGUCUGUCAGAGUUGGCAAUAAGAGAAGAAAGCUUCCAUCAUUCAUAUGGAGCGAUUUCGAGAAACUGUUUGUCGAUGGGGAAUGGAAAGCCGAGUGCAUCUAUUGUGCCGAAAUUCUUCCUGCAGAAGCUGCAGGUGGCACGUCACACCUGGAGGACCACCUGAUGUCGUGUGCUGAUUGGCAUGCACUGGCAGCCCCACAGGAAUCAAGGUUGUCAAAGGCUUUUGACGGCGGGGAAGCCGAUUGGGAGGAUGUUCUGUUUGAUCAAGAGGUUGCCAGGAAACAUCUUGCGAUGAUGAUCUGUGCUCAUGAUUACCCUCUGUCUAUCGUCAAUCAUGCGGGUUUUCGGAAACUGUGUUACGCAUUACAACCAAUGUUUCAGAUGGUAUCAAGAAAUGACAUUAGAAAAGAUAUUUUGGGUAUGCAUGCGGCCGAGAAGGAUAAGAUGGUGAAGUAUUUUGCAGACUUUAAAGGUCGAGUCGCCAUCAGUACAGACAUGUGGACUGCAGAACAUCAGAAGAGAGGUUACAUGGUAGUCACUGCACAUUUCCUUGAUGAAUCUUGGCAACUCAAGAGUUUUAUGUUGAGGUUUGUUUAUGUGCCUUGCCCACAUAAUGCUGCAGUCAUAUGUCAAGCACUGCAUGAGUCCCUUGUUGAGUGGCAUCUCGAGAGAAAGAUAUUGACGGUGACUCUGGACAAUUGUAUACCAAGUGAUGAAGCUAUGGAACAUUUGCCAGAUAAGUUGGAUCUGAAAUCUCUUCUAUUGGAGGGUAAAUAUCUGCAUAUGCGCUGUGGUGCACAUAUGCUUAAUCUGAUUGUGAAAGAUGGCAUGGAUCUCAUGGAGAAGAGUAUAGAACGGGUUCGUGAUAGUGUUGCAUAUUGGUCAGCUACUCCUGGGAGACAUGAUAAAUUUGAAAAAAUGGCACAGACUCUGAACAUUGAAUACAAGGAAAGGUUGUUUCUUGAUUGUAAAACCAGAUGGAAUUCAACAUACAGAAUGCUAACUAUUGCAUUAGAAUACAUUGAGAUUUUUGAAACACUACUGGCGCAGUGGUGA